Bufo bufo (common toad) is the source of this 1096-nucleotide long non-coding RNA. RefSeq lists it as uncharacterized. Lineage: Eukaryota; Metazoa; Chordata; Amphibia; Anura; Bufonidae. The record is from RefSeq and is a predicted model, not a curated record. The transcript has 5 exons.
CUCUGAUUAAAAAUUACUUGAGAAACAGCAUGUCACAACAACGGCUUUCUGGCCUUGCCCUUCUAAGCAUUGAGAAUGAAAGAGCAAGAAAACUGGACAUUCCAGCUAUUGUUGACAAAUUUGCUGAGUCUAAAGCGAGACGGCGCAACUUCUAGUAAUAUGUAUUUUGCGUAAGUGAGCAGUUUGUUGGGUACAGGGAGUUAUAUUAUCAAAGUUCAUACUAACCCAGUUCAAUUUAUUCAACUUUGGUUGUACUAAACAGUUAACUAGUUUGGUUCUAUUUUAGCUGCCUUCUUUUUGGUAACAAUGAUGCAGAUUAAUAAACAAUUCUGAUGUUGUUAGACUCUAAAACACAACGACCGCCUUUGAACUAUUUGAAUACAGCACUGGUUUCUGCACAACAAAAGCUUAAUAUCAAAAAGAAGGCAGAUGUUACCAACAUCAAAAAUACUUAACAUAAUUACUAAAUGCUACCAUCUCCUUUCCUACAGUGAGAACAAAUUGGUUCCUUUCUACUUGAUGCCUCCUCGUUGGACCUGGCUGGUUAAUUUUGAUGUUUCAUUUGGAUUUCUGUUCUGGUUGAGAAGCACAACUCGUGCUUAUUCACAAUCAAAUUUUGUGAGAACAAAUUGGUUCCUUUCUACUUGAUGCCUCCUCGUUGGACCUGGCUGGUUAAUUUUGAUGUUUCAUUUGGAUUUCUGUUCUGGUUAAGAAGCAUGACUCGUUCCUUUUCACAUUCAAAUUUUGUGAGAACAAAUUGGUUCCUUUCUACUUGAUGCCUCCUCGUUGGACCUGGCUGGUUAAUUUUGAUGUUUCAUUUGGAUUUCUGUUCUGGUUAAGAAGCAUGACUCGUUCCUUUUCACAUUCAAAUUUUGUGAGAACAAAUUGGUUCCUUUCUACUUGAUGCCUCCUCGUUGGACCUGGCUGGUUAAUUUUGAUGUUUCAUUUGGAUUUCUGUUCUGGUUAAGAAGCAUGACUCGUUCCUUUUCACAUUCAAAUUUUGUGAGAACAAAUUGGUUCCUUUCUACUUGAUGCCUCCUCGUUGGACCUGGCUGGUUAAUUUUGAUGUUUUAUUUGGAUUUCUGUUCUUGUUAAG